UACGUAGGGGGCAAGCGUUGUCCGGAUUUAUUGGGCGUAAAGAGCGUGUAGGCGGCCAUACAGGUCAGCUGUGAAAACUCGAGGCUCAACCUCGAGACGUCGGUUGAAACCGUAUGGCUAGAGUCCGGAAGAGGAGAGUGGAAUUCCCGGUGUAGCGGUGAAAUGCGCAGAUAUCGGGAAGAACACCCGUGGCGAAGGCGGCUCUCUGGGACGGUACUGGACGGCUGAGAGCGAAAGCGUGGGGAGCAAACAGGG
Molecule: ribosomal RNA, 255 nt
Filed under: uncultured bacterium
Lineage: Bacteria
Description: partial 16S ribosomal RNA
Rfam family: Bacterial small subunit ribosomal RNA
Source: RNAcentral